This 741-nucleotide unclassified non-coding RNA is filed under the name Hevea brasiliensis (rubber tree). Lineage: Eukaryota; Viridiplantae; Streptophyta; Magnoliopsida; Malpighiales; Euphorbiaceae. The record is from RNAcentral.
GAAAAAUUCCAUCUCGAGUGAUGACAAAUAGUUCACCUUGAGAAUGCACAAUGUAGAGAUGCAUUCCACAGAUAAACUCAGAGGGAACGCCUUGAAACAUCCUUCCAAUAGUUGGUUCUAAUCCUCCUCUAAAGUCCAAUAUAACAACGCGUCCUCGAACAUCAACCCCAUAAAACCGUCCAUCAUGCCAUGUUACAUCAGAAUAAGUUGCUAUGCGAGUUUCAACAGUGAUAAAAGCAUUUUUUCCAGGUUUCCAAUAGGCUAAUGUAUGAGGAACUCCUUGACUAAUCAUUAAAAUAUAAUCGUCGUCGUCAGUGUUGUUAUGAGGAUCUGAAGAAAGCACCGCUUUUUGAACAUAAUGCUCACAGUAACCGCGUUCAUCAUCAAAAUUGAAACCUUUCAAUGUGUUCAUAUGAGGUAAUUCGAUAAUAGCACGAGAAUUAAGAUGGAACAAAUUCAUAUUACCUUCCCCAUCUGCUGUGAAAAGCCACCCUGGAAUUCCAACACCCAAACAUUGUUUUCCAGCAAGCUCUGGAAAAUUCAUGGUGUAAGUAAUGCCGUUUGUUAAGUCGAAAAACUCACGGUUUUCUUCAUCCCCUUCCUUCUCUGCGAGCAUCAAUAAUGGAACUGGAACUCCAAUCAACAAUGGAACUGGAACUCCAACUUUCUCCGCAACCAUGAUUGUAAGUACCAAACUUUGAUUUGAUGAUGAAUAAUCAAAACCUAAUCCCCUUUUAUAAC